RNAcentral lists this ribosomal RNA (253 nucleotides) under uncultured bacterium. RNAcentral's name for it is "partial 16S ribosomal RNA". It matches the Rfam family "Bacterial small subunit ribosomal RNA", at positions 524 to 776 of the family's 1533-position model. The record is from RNAcentral.
UACAGAGGGUGCGAGCGUUGUUCGGAAUUAUUGGGCGUAAAGGGCGCGUAGGCGGUGCGGUAAGUCACCUGUGAAAUCUCCUGGCUCAACUGGGAGCUUGCAGGCGAAACUGCCGUGCUGGAGUGUGGGAGAGGUGCGUGGAAUUCCUGGUGUAGCGGUGAAAUGCGUAGAUACCAGGAGGAACACCUGUGGCGAAAGCGGCGCACUGGACCACAACUGACGCUGAGGCGCGAAAGCCAGGGGAGCAAACGGG